AGGACGUAAGGAGUCAGGGACAUAAGAACCAAAAAUAAAAGAGAGAUGGGAGACGGGAAGGUGAAGGUGAAGGACAUAAGGAGUCAGGGACAUAAGAAACAGAAAUAAAAGAGAGAUGGGAGACGGGAAGGUGAAGGACAUAAGGAGUCAGGGACAUAAGAUCCAGAAAUAAAAGAGAGAUGGGAGACGGGAAGGUGAAGGAUGUAAGGAGUCAGGGACAUAAGAACCAGAAAUAAAAGAGAGAUGGGAAGUUGAAGGAUGUAAGGAGUCAGGGACAUAAGAACCAGAAAUAAAAGAGAGAUGGGAAGGUGAAGGAUGUAAGGAGUCAGGGACAUAAGAACCAGAAAUAAAAUAGAGAUGUGAGACAGGAAGGUGAAGGAUGUAAGGAGUCAGGGACAUAAGAACCAGAAAUAAAAGAGAGAUGGUAAGGUGAAGGACAUAAGGAGUCAGGGACAUAAGAACCAGAAAUAAAAGAGAGAUGGGAAGGUGAAGAAUGUAAGGAGUCAGGGACAUAAGAACCAGAAAUAAAAGAGAGAUGGGAGACGGGAAGGUGAAGGACAUAAGGAGUCAGGGACAUAAGAACCAGAAAUAAAAGAGAGAUGGGAAG
RNAcentral lists this long non-coding RNA (607 nucleotides) under Salmo salar (Atlantic salmon). RNAcentral describes it as "lncRNA (ENSSSAG00000105219.1)". The record is from RNAcentral. Lineage: Eukaryota; Metazoa; Chordata; Actinopteri; Salmoniformes; Salmonidae.